UGGUGCUUCCAGCCGCCCUUAUAGUGAGCCUUAGUAAGGGCAGUUUGUGUCUCAGCCGCCUCUAUUGUCUGCAUUUGCAAGGGUGGCUCAAUCUAGAACCGCCCCUACAGUUAUUUUUCAGAAAAAAAAAUAAAAAUUACAAUAAUCGAGUUGACAGCACAGCACAGCACCACAUACAUAUAUACAUAUAUAAUCAGAUUCUCAACAUCACAGAUUCACAACAUAAAUAUCCAUACAUAUACACAGCACCACAUUUCAAGUCCAAAAUGUUUCCAAGUCCAUUACAAAUCCAUCCAAAAGAGUCCGAAAUUUUGCAAGUACUAAUACAAAUCGAUCACAGUCCAUUCCAACAAGUUCACAUGUAUCAACGACCUAGACAUAGCCUAUACCACUGACGGAGGUGCUGGUAAAGAGGAUUGCUACCUAAGUCGGACUAUGGGUUAUGGUAAUCACCUUUGUAAUAAACAACAUGGUCCAUUACAAAGUUGCAAAGGUCACCGACAAUGUCUAAGAGGUCAUCAUCCUUGUAGACAUCCGUUUUAGUCUUUUUUCUUCUUUCCACUACAAGAUCGUAAAAGACAAGUUUAGGUCUAGUGUAAAGAAGAGAUUGCAAAGCUAAGUGAGAAAUACUAUGUUUUCAUACUACAACCC
RNAcentral lists this long non-coding RNA (651 nucleotides) under Sorghum bicolor (sorghum). Its description in RNAcentral is "long non-coding RNA (SBIC_LNC016423)". Lineage: Eukaryota; Viridiplantae; Streptophyta; Magnoliopsida; Poales; Poaceae. The record is from RNAcentral.